UAGUAGUCGGAUCGGCUUGUAGCUUCAUAUUUUUCUUUAAACGGUUAAUAAAUACUGCUGCUAUAAUAGGCUUUUCUUCAUUUGACCCAGCUUCUUUUUCAAUUAUUGAAGCAAGCGUUAAAACAUCAAUUCUAGUUUUUAAUGGAGAAUCUGGUGAAAGAUAUUUCAUUACUUCAUCUAAAUUAGUAGACAUUAAAUUUCUCA
Molecule: small RNA, 204 nt
Filed under: Rickettsia prowazekii
Lineage: Bacteria; Pseudomonadati; Pseudomonadota; Alphaproteobacteria; Rickettsiales; Rickettsiaceae
Description: partial sR40 non-coding RNA
Source: RNAcentral